This 406-nucleotide ribosomal RNA is filed under the name uncultured bacterium. RNAcentral's name for it is "partial 16S ribosomal RNA". It matches the Rfam family "Bacterial small subunit ribosomal RNA", at positions 30 to 526 of the family's 1533-position model. The record is from RNAcentral.
AUUGAACGCUGGCGGCAGGCCUAACACAUGCAAGUCGAACGAGUGGCGGACGGGUGAGUAAUGUCUGGGAAACUGCCUGAUGGAGGGGGAUCACUACUGGAAACGGUAGCUAAUACCGCAUACCAUCAGAUGUGCCCAGAUGGGAUUGGCUUGUUGGUGGGGUAAUGGCUCACCAGGGCGACGAUCCCUAGCUGGUCUGAGAGGAUGACGAGCCACACUGGAACGGAGACAGGGUCCAGCCUCCUACGGAGGGCGGAAGUGGGUAAUAUUGCACAAUGGGGGAAAGCCUGAUGCAGCAAUGCCGCGUGUAGGAGGAAGGCUUUCGGGUUGUAAAGUACGUUCAGCGGGGAGGCGUUACCCGCAUAAGAAGCACCGGCUAACUCCGUGCCAGCAGCCGCGGUAAUAC